ACUAAAGCCUUUUGAAAAUGGGCACUGCCAUUCUACGGUGUCUUGUCAUAUUACUUUAUUAACCCUUUUCUUUUAUGGGUUUGAGAGGCCUCCGCGCCGGCGACGUGCUAUAUAAAGCUAAGAAGCGCAAAAUAAGUAAGUAAAAAGGAAAAAGAGAAUAAGGUGUCCAGAUUCAUCCUCCGAAAUUGCCCAUUUACACCAGCCCAUCCCUCUAUAAAUUCUGUCACCGUCUCCUACUAGUACUUGCUGAAGAUCACUUCUCAGCUCUCACCAACGUCAUUUGACAAACCUUAAUUUCAGUAUCCUAAAAAGACUUGUUUUUUUUCUUUUUCUAUUAUUAAACGCCUAUC
This 350-nucleotide unclassified non-coding RNA is filed under the name Hevea brasiliensis (rubber tree). The record is from RNAcentral. Lineage: Eukaryota; Viridiplantae; Streptophyta; Magnoliopsida; Malpighiales; Euphorbiaceae.